This 1388-nucleotide ribosomal RNA is filed under the name Haemophilus influenzae. Its description in RNAcentral is "bacterial LSU rRNA". It matches the Rfam family "Bacterial large subunit ribosomal RNA", at positions 1286 to 2658 of the family's 2925-position model. Lineage: Bacteria; Pseudomonadati; Pseudomonadota; Gammaproteobacteria; Pasteurellales; Pasteurellaceae. The record is from RNAcentral.
AAGUGCGAAUGCUGACAUAAGUAACGAUAAAACGGGUGAAAAACCCGUUCGCCGGAAGACCAAGGGUUCCUGUCCAACGUUAAUCGGGGCAGGGUGAGUCGGCUCCUAAGGCGAGGCUGAAAAGCGUAGUCGAUGGGAAACAGGUUAAUAUUCCUGUACUUGGUAAAGCUGCGAUGUGGGGACGGAGUAGGUUAGGUUAUCGCACUGUUGGAUAUGUGCGUUUAAGUUGGUAGGUGGGAAGUUUAGGCAAAUCCGGACUUCCUUAACACAGAGAGAUGAUGACGAGGCUCUACGGAGCUGAAGUAACUGAUACCACACUUCCAGGAAAAGCCACUAAGCGAAAGGCUUUACUAAACCGUACUGAAAACCGACACAGGUGGUCAGGUAGAGAAUACUCAGGCGCUUGAGAGAACUCGGGUGAAGGAACUAGGCAAAAUAGCACCGUAACUUCGGGAGAAGGUGCGCCGGCGUAGAUUGUAAGGGCUAGCCCCUGAAGGUUGAACCGGUCGAAGAUACCAGCUGGCUGCAACUGUUUAUUAAAAACACAGCACUCUGCAAACACGAAAGUGGAGGUAUAGGGUGUGAUGCCUGCCCGGUGCUGGAAGGUUAAUUGAUGGUGUAAUCGCAAGAGAAGCACCUGAUCGAAGCCCCAGUAAACGGCGGCCGUAACUAUAACGGUCCUAAGGUAGCGAAAUUCCUUGUCGGGUAAGUUCCGACCUGCACGAAUGGCAUAAUGAUGGCCAGGCUGUCUCCACCCGAGACUCAGUGAAAUUGAAAUCGCCGUGAAGAUGCGGUGUACCCGCGGCUAGACGGAAAGACCCCGUGAACCUUUACUAUAGCUUGACACUGAACAUUGAAUUUUGAUGUGUAGGAUAGGUGGGAGACUUAGAAGCAGUCACGCCAGUGAUUGUGGAGUCGACCUUGAAAUACCACCCUUUAACGUUUGAUGUUCUAACGAAGAUGACGAAACGUGGUCUCGGACAGUGUCUGGUGGGUAGUUUGACUGGGGCGGUCUCCUCCCAAAGCGUAACGGAGGAGCACGAAGGUUUGCUAAUGACGGUCGGACAUCGUCAGGUUAGUGCAAUGGUAUAAGCAAGCUUAACUGCGAGACAGACAAGUCGAGCAGGUACGAAAGUAGGUCAUAGUGAUCCGGUGGUUCUGAAUGGAAGGGCCAUCGCUCAACGGAUAAAAGGUACUCCGGGGAUAACAGGCUGAUACCGCCCAAGAGUUCAUAUCGACGGCGGUGUUUGGCACCUCGAUGUCGGCUCAUCACAUCCUGGGGCUGAAGUAGGUCCCAAGGGUAUGGCUGUUCGCCAUUUAAAGUGGUACGCGAGCUGGGUUUAGAACGUCGUGAGACAGUUCGGUCCCUAUCUGCCGUGGGCGUAGGA